Molecule: ribosomal RNA, 468 nt
Filed under: uncultured bacterium
Lineage: Bacteria
Description: partial 16S ribosomal RNA
Rfam family: Bacterial small subunit ribosomal RNA
Source: RNAcentral
GACGAACGCUGGCGGCGUGCUUAACACAUGCAAGUCGAACGGAAAGGUCCUGCUUUUGUGGGUUGCUCGAUUGGCGAACGCGUGAGUAACACGUGUGUAACCUCUCCCUGUCUUUGGGAUAACUUCAGGAGACUGGGGCGAAUACCGGAUAGGAUCUCUUGCUGCAUGGUGGGGGUUGGAGAGUUUCGGCGGUUGUGGAUGGACUCGCGGCUUAUGCGCUUCUUUGUGGGGUAGUUGCUUACCAAGGGUUUGACGGGUAGCCGGCAUGAGAGGGUGACCGGGCACAUGGGGACUGAGAGACGGACCAGAAUGGUACGGGAGGCAGCAGUGGAGAGUAUUGCGGAAUGGGCGGAAGCCUGAGACAGAAACGUCGGGAGCGGGAUGACGGCCUUCGGGUUGUAAACAGAUGUGGCAGGUGACGAGGAGUGAGUGACGGUAAUGGGUAAAGAAGCAACGGCUAACUACGUG